This 207-nucleotide transfer-messenger RNA is filed under the name Candidatus Pelagibacter sp. Its description in RNAcentral is "partial transfer-messenger RNA". It matches the Rfam family "Alphaproteobacteria transfer-messenger RNA", at positions 96 to 355 of the family's 355-position model. From Rfam's summary of the family: Bacterial tmRNA, also known as 10Sa RNA or SsrA, is named for its dual tRNA and mRNA-like properties. The record is from RNAcentral. Lineage: Bacteria; Pseudomonadati; Pseudomonadota; Alphaproteobacteria; Candidatus Pelagibacterales; Candidatus Pelagibacteraceae.
GGGCAGUACCCACCACCUCCACCAUUACAACUUAUGGGGGUGAACUAGAUUCGACGGGUGACUAAAGGCUAUUCUUUCGUUCGGGAUUGUUCCACCGUGACGGGCAAAUUUAUAAUUGCUAACGAAAGUUACGCACUUGCUGCCUAAUUAACUUUGUUAAUUAAGUAGACGGGGUCCGGGGCACCUGGCAACAGAACGCCCCUUAUU